RNAcentral lists this ribosomal RNA (775 nucleotides) under uncultured bacterium. RNAcentral's name for it is "bacterial SSU rRNA". It matches the Rfam family "Bacterial small subunit ribosomal RNA", at positions 99 to 869 of the family's 1533-position model. The record is from RNAcentral.
CGGACGGGUGAGGAAUACAUCGGAAUCUACCUUUUCGUGGGGGAUAACGUAGGGAAACUUACGCUAAUACCGCAUACGACCUACGGGUGAAAGUGGGGGACCGCAAGGCCUCACGCGAUUAGAUGAGCCGAUGUCCGAUUAGCUAGUUGGCGGGGUAAUGGCCCACCAAGGCGACGAUCGGUAGCUGGUCUGAGAGGAUGAUCAGCCACACUGGAACUGAGACACGGUCCAGACUCCUACGGGAGGCAGCAGUGGGGAAUAUUGGACAAUGGGCGCAAGCCUGAUCCAGCCAUACCGCGUGGGUGAAGAAGGCCUUCGGGUUGUAAAGCCCUUUUGUUGGGAAAGAAAUCCUAUCGGUUAAUAACCGGUGGGGAUGACGGUACCCAAAGAAUAAGCACCGGCUAACUUCGUGCCAGCAGCCGCGGUAAUACGAAGGGUGCAAGCGUUACUCGGAAUUACUGGGCGUAAAGCGUGCGUAGGUGGUGGUUUAAGUCUGCUGUGAAAGCCCUGGGCUCAACCUGGGAAUUGCAGUGGAUACUGGAUCACUAGAGUGUGGUAGAGGGAUGCGGAAUUUCUGGUGUAGCAGUGAAAUGCGUAGAGAUCAGAAGGAACAUCCGUGGCGAAGGCGGCAUCCUGGGCCAACACUGACACUGAGGCACGAAAGCGUGGGGAGCAAACAGGAUUAGACACCCUGGUAGUCCACGCCCUAAACGAUGCGAACUGGAUGUUGGGUGCAACUUGGCACCCAGUAUCGAAGCUAACGCGUUAAGUUCGC